GGCCUAACACAUGCAAGUCGAACGGCAGCACAGCAGAGCUUGCUCUGUGGGUGGCGAGUGGCGGACGGGUGAGUAAUGCAUCGGGACCUACCCAGACGUGGGGGAUAACGUAGGGAAACUUACGCUAAUACCGCAUACGUCCUACGGGAGAAAGCAGGGGAUCUUCGGACCUUGCGCGGUUGGACGGACCGAUGUGCGAUUAGCUAGUUGGUAAGGUAAUGGCUUACCAAGGCGACGAUCGCUAGCUGGUCUGAGAGGAUGAUCAGCCACAUUGGAACUGAGACACGGUCCAGACUCCUACGGGAGGCAGCAGUGGGGAAUAUUGGACAAUGGGCGCAAGCCUGAUCCAGCAAUGCCGCGUGUGUGAAGAAGGCCCUCGGGUUGUAAAGCACUUUUAUCAGGAACGAAAUACCACGGGCUAAUACCUUGUGGGGCUGACGGUACCUGAGG
This 450-nucleotide ribosomal RNA is filed under the name uncultured Gammaproteobacteria bacterium. RNAcentral's name for it is "bacterial SSU rRNA". It matches the Rfam family "Bacterial small subunit ribosomal RNA", at positions 45 to 484 of the family's 1533-position model. The record is from RNAcentral. Lineage: Bacteria; Pseudomonadati; Pseudomonadota; Gammaproteobacteria.